CGGACGGGGGUGCUGGACCCGCAGAACUCCUGCGGUAUCUGCUGUUCCCUUCAUCCCGCCUUGGUAUUACAGGACGGAGAGGAGGGCCCUGUCGAGGACACAAAAAAGGAAGUCCUUCACAUGGGCGAUUCUACACGGAGACAAAGGAGAGCAGAGGGAGGACAGGCUCACAGCCGCAGAUGGACACCAGAGAGGAUGUAGGGAGUGCCAGGAGCAUCGCAGGCUGAUUCCACCAGCGAAGCAUCAAAACUUCGAAGCCGAAGGCUCUGCAUCCACAACAAACAGAGUCGAGUGCAGGAAACACAGAACCUGUCGUCUGCAGUCAGUGAAGCUCCGGUCCAGACUCCUGCACGAGGCCUCCUGCAGUAGCUUUGCUUACAGUGCCCCCUUCUGUCAUAUGAUACAACCAUAUAUACACAUUGACUCAUAUGCAUAUGUAUGUACACAGCACCAGUCAGUCAGGUGGGACACAUCUUCUCAUUGUGUCUCUCGACUGGUACUCUACAUCAUUUUUCUCUCUUCAAGUAUCUCAAUCGGUAUUUUGCAGGUUUUCACCUGACCUGACUAAAGUUGUGAGUGGCGCUUCGUUGCCCCCCCGCUCAUCUACCACAGUGGAAAAAUGUGGUGCUGCACAGGAAGCCAUGAGAUGCACUCGUGUGUAGGAGGUGCUGCUACGGUAGAAAAAGGGGGUAGCUCAGGAGUUUGGGUGCUUACUACAGCAGCAUCCACUGCUAUUUUUAACCCGACCGGUUCGUAACAUCUUGAGCGCCUCCACACAGAACAUUUAUAUUGAUAUAUAUUUAAGUGUAUUAUUUGAUUGCAGCUAUCGAACAACAGCAUAUUUGACUGCAGCUAUCGUACAACAUGUUAUAAUAGUUAAUACAACUUCAUCAAUGCAUUUUCUCCACUGUGUGCCUUUGAGACUUGAUUAAAAACGGGUUUGUCGAUGUAA
Molecule: long non-coding RNA, 952 nt
Organism: Gasterosteus aculeatus aculeatus (three-spined stickleback)
Lineage: Eukaryota; Metazoa; Chordata; Actinopteri; Perciformes; Gasterosteidae
Source: Ensembl